Molecule: ribosomal RNA, 912 nt
Filed under: uncultured bacterium
Lineage: Bacteria
Description: bacterial SSU rRNA
Rfam family: Bacterial small subunit ribosomal RNA
Source: RNAcentral
AGAGUUUGAUCAUGGCUCAGGACGAACGCUGGCGGCGUGCCUAACACAUGCAAGUCGAACGGAGAUAUGCGAACGAGGCCUUCGGGCGGAGAUUGCAUAUUUUAGUGGCGGACGGGCGAGUAACGCGUGAGCAACCUGCCCUUCAGAGGGGGAUAACGGCUGGAAACGGCCGCUAAUACCGCAUGACAUAUACACAAGGCAUCUUGAGUAUAUCAAAGGAGGAAUCCGCUGAAGGAUGGGCUCGCGUCCGAUUAGCUGGUUGGUGAGGUAACGGCUCACCAAGGCGACGAUCGGUAGCCGAACUGAGAGGUUGAUCGGCCGCAUUGGGACUGAGACACGGCCCAGACUCCUACGGGAGGCAGCAGUGGGGGAUAUUGCACAAUGGAGGAAACUCUGAUGCAGCGACGCCGCGUGGGGGAAGAAGGUCUUCGGAUUGUAAACCUCAGUAGUCAGGGAAGAAGCAAGUGACGGUACCUGAAGAGUAAGCUCCGGCUAACUACGUGCCAGCAGCCGCGGUAAUACGUAGGGAGCGAGCGUUGUCCGGAAUUACUGGGUGUAAAGGGUGCGUAGGCGGGUCAGCAAGUCAGGCGUGAAAUACCGGGGCUCAACUCCGGGGCUGCGCUUGAAACUGUUGGUCUUGAGUGAAGUAGAGGCAGGCGGAAUUCCUAGUGUAGCGGUGAAAUGCGUAGAUAUUAGGAGGAACACCAGUGGCGAAGGCGGCCUGCUGGGCUUUAACUGACGCUGAUGCACGAAAGCAUGGGGAGCAAACAGGAUUAGAUACCCUGGUAGUCCAUGCCGUAAACGAUGAUAGCUAGGUGUGGGGGGUUAUAUGCCGUCCGUGCCGGAGUUAACACAAUAAGCUUUCCACCUGGGGAGUACGGCCGCAAGGCUAAAACUCAAAUGAAUUGACGG